RNAcentral lists this ribosomal RNA (730 nucleotides) under uncultured Burkholderia sp. RNAcentral describes it as "bacterial SSU rRNA". It matches the Rfam family "Bacterial small subunit ribosomal RNA", at positions 9 to 733 of the family's 1533-position model. The record is from RNAcentral. Lineage: Bacteria; Pseudomonadati; Pseudomonadota; Betaproteobacteria; Burkholderiales; Burkholderiaceae.
GAGUUUGAUCAUGGCUCAGAUUGAACGCUGGCGGCAUGCCUUACACACGCAAGUCGAACGGCAGCACGGGUGCUUGCACCUGGUGGCGAGUGGCGAACGGGUGAGUAAUACAUCGGAACAUGUCCUGUAGUGGGGGAUAGCCCGGCGAAAGCCGGAUUAAUACCGCAUACGAUCUGAGGAUGAAAGCGGGGGACCUUCGGGCCUCGCGCUAUAGGGUUGGCCGAUGGCUGAUUAGCUAGUUGGUGGGGUAAAGGCCUACCAAGGCGACGAUCAGUAGCUGGUCUGAGAGGACGACCAGCCACACUGGGACUGAGACACGGCCCAGACUCCUACGGGAGGCAGCAGUGGGGAAUUUUGGACAAUGGGCGAAAGCCUGAUCCAGCAAUGCCGCGUGUGUGAAGAAGGCCUUCGGGUUGUAAAGCACUUUUGUCCGGAAAGAAAUCCUUGGUUCUAAUAUAGCCGGGGGAUGACGGUACCGGAAGAAUAAGCACCGGCUAACUACGUGCCAGCAGCCGCGGUAAUACGUAGGGUGCAAGCGUUAAUCGGAAUUACUGGGCGUAAAGCGUGCGCAGGCGGUUUGCUAAGACCGAUGUGAAAUCCCCGGGCUCAACCUGGGAACUGCAUUGGUGACUGGCAGGCUAGAGUAUGGCAGANGGGGGUAGAAUUCCACGUGUAGCAGUGAAAUGCGUAGAGAUGUGGAGGAAUACCGAUGGCGANNNAGCCCCCUGGG